Mus musculus (house mouse) is the source of this 1106-nucleotide long non-coding RNA. RefSeq annotates it as predicted gene, 30082. The record is from RefSeq and is a predicted model, not a curated record. NCBI's taxonomy places the organism in Eukaryota, Metazoa, Chordata, Mammalia, Rodentia, Muridae. The transcript is spliced from 3 exons.
CCUAAGCUCGGUGUCACGUGAUCUAGUCGGUUCAUUGGGUGUGGCCCGGGUCACGUGACUGCGGAGGGCUUGCUCCUGUGUCCUUCCUCAGGAUCCUUCACUGACCUUCGUAAAUACAUGGAAAGAUGAGAAGGUUCUGGGACAGAAAAGGGUGGAAGGAUGGACUUGUCAGAAGGAGGGGCAGAAGCAGAAGCACAAUGGGGGUAGGCGAAUAUGGGUGAAUGGGGUGUCCCGAGCCUUGUGCGGUAAGGGGUGGGGAGGCAGAGCUGAAGGGAUGAACUGGGAAGCCCUGGGAAGGCUUAAGUACUACGCGGGGUUUGGUUUAUGUACAUUUUACCAAUUACCCAGACAGUGUGGAAGGAUGAAGAUUUUCAGCUGGGACGCAUUCACCUUGCUCUGGGAGGCUCCUCUCCCUCUCCAAGUGCUUCUUUCCUAGAGCCUCCGGGGAGGAGGCGGCUUUCCCUUUCCACAUCCAAGGCAAGCUGCAUACAACGCAGAGGUGUCCAGUUCUCUGUUAGACUGGGAGUUAGGGGAUUACCAGCAUCCUCUCCUCCUCACUUGCUCACGUCUUCGGUGGAUUCUGGCUGCUUCAUUUCCCAAACAGAUGGCAAAGUGGCCCUCCUUCUGUCUCCACUGUCCUCCUUUCACUGUCCAGACACAGUCCUCAGUGACCCGCCCCCCCCCCCCCCCCCGGUGGGCUUAACUCUCCUGGCAAAGUCCAGUCUCUUGAUCAGGAACUUUGAGGAUCCAGGUCCCACAGAGGUCUUCACUGUCUCCUACCCCACAUGAUCACCUAUCUCCAUAGCCCUGCCAGGCUCUUAGCGGCCACUCUGGCUGCUUCCAAGGCUGUAGCCUGCUUCUCCCAUGCUGACUUCUCUUCCUGGGCUCAACAGCAAAGGUUCCCUCAGCAGAGAAAACCCUAGGCUUUGAGCCAUGGUGUGUCCCAGUUUCCUCUGUGUUUAAUAUUUGUGCUUCCUGCUGUUGUGGCUGCUGCAUGUGGGCAGGAACUGCUUCUGUUUUGUUUAUUGCUCUGUGUACUUCCCACCCAGCCUAGGAUCAAUAAAUAGGUGUUGAGCCAGGUAUGGUGGCUCAUGCCUAUAAUCCUA